UUGACCUCGGAUCAGGUAGGACUACCCGCUGAACUUAAGCAUAUCAAUAAGCGGAGGAAAAGAAACCAACAGGGAUUGCCCCAGUAACGGCGAGUGAAGCGGCAACAGCUCAGAUUUGGAAUCUGGCCCCCAGGGCCCGAGUUGUAAUCUGGAGAGGAUGCUUCUGGCGCGGCGCCUUCCGAGUUCCCUGGAACGGGACGCCGGAGAGGGUGAGAGCCCCGUACGGUCGGACGCCCAGCCUGUGUGAAGCUCCUUCGACGAGUCGAGUAGUUUGGGAAUGCUGCUCAAAAUGGGAGGUAAAUUUCUUCUAAAGCUAAAUAUUGGCCAGAGACCGAUAGCGCACAAGUAGAGUGAUCGAAAGAUGAAAAGCACUUUGAAAAGAGGGUCAAACAGUAUGUAAAAUUGUUGAAAGGGAAG
Molecule: ribosomal RNA, 417 nt
Filed under: Leptographium radiaticola
Lineage: Eukaryota; Fungi; Ascomycota; Sordariomycetes; Ophiostomatales; Ophiostomataceae
Description: eukaryotic LSU rRNA
Rfam family: Eukaryotic large subunit ribosomal RNA
Source: RNAcentral